Molecule: ribosomal RNA, 471 nt
Filed under: uncultured bacterium
Lineage: Bacteria
Description: bacterial SSU rRNA
Rfam family: Bacterial small subunit ribosomal RNA
Source: RNAcentral
GCAGACCACUCCUACGGAGGCAGCAGUGGGGAAUAUUGCACAAUGGGCGCAAGCCUGAUGCAGCCAUGCCGCGUGUAUGAAGAAGGCCUUCGGGUUGUAAAGUACUUUCAGCAGUGAGGAAGGUGGAUAUGUUAAUAGCAUAUUCAUUUGACGUUAGCUGCAGAAGAAGCACCGGCUAACUCCGUGCCAGCAGCCGCGGUAAUACGGAGGGUGCGAGCGUUAAUCGGAAUUACUGGGCGUAAAGCGCAUGCAGGUGGUUUGUUAAGUCAGAUGUGAAAGCCCGGGGCUCAACCUCGGAAUUGCAUUUGAAACUGGCAAACUAGAGUACUGUAGAGGGGGUAGAAUUUCAGGUGUAGCGGUGAAAUGCGUAGAGAUCUGAAGGAAUACCGGUGGCGAAGGCGGCCCCCUGGACAGAUACUGACACUCAGAUGCGAAAGCGUGGGGAGCAAACAGGAUUAGAUACCCUGGUAG